GGGGAAUAUUGGACAAUGGGCGAAAGCCUGAUCCAGCAAUGCCGCGUGGGUGAAGAAGGUUUUCGGAUUGUAAAGCCCUUUCGGCGGGGACGAUGAUGACGGUACCCGCAGAAGAAGCUCCGGCUAACUUCGUGCCAGCAGCCGCGGUAAUACGAAGGGGGCUAGCGUUGCUCGGAAUGACUGGGCGUAAAGGGCGCGUAGGCGGUCUGUACAGUCAGAUGUGAAAUUCCUGGGCUCAACCUGGGACUGCAUUUGAUACGUGCAGGCUUGAGUGUGGAAGAGGGUUGUGGAAUUCCCAGUGUAGAGGUGAAAUUCGUAGAUAUUGGGAAGAACACCGGUGGCGAAGGCGGCAACCUGGUCCAUUACUGACGCUGAGGCGCGAAAGCGUGGGGAGCAAA
Molecule: ribosomal RNA, 398 nt
Filed under: uncultured bacterium
Lineage: Bacteria
Description: bacterial SSU rRNA
Rfam family: Bacterial small subunit ribosomal RNA
Source: RNAcentral